GAUGAAGAACGCAGCGAAAUGCGAUAAGUAAUGUGAAUUGCAGAAUUCAGUGAAUCAUCGAAUCUUUGAACGCACAUUGCGCCCGCCAGUAUUCUGGCGGGCAUGCCUGUUCGAGCGUCAUUUCAACCCUCAGGGCCCUUUUGGACCUGGCGUUGGGGCUCGGCCGCUACCCUGCGGCCGUCCCCGAAAGAUAGUGGCGGUCUCGCUGUAGCCUCCUCUGCGUAGUAGUUACAUCUCGCACUGGAGCGCGGCGCGGCCAUGCCGUUAAACACCCCACUUCUCAAGGUUGACCUCGGAUCAGGUAGGAAUACCCGCUGAACUUAAGCAUAUCAAUAAGCGGAGGA
RNAcentral lists this unclassified non-coding RNA (344 nucleotides) under soil metagenome. Its description in RNAcentral is "partial contains 5.8S ribosomal RNA, internal transcribed spacer 2, and large subunit ribosomal RNA". The stretch from base 1 to 120 matches the Rfam family "5.8S ribosomal RNA", at positions 35 to 154 of the family's 154-position model. The record is from RNAcentral.